AAGCCGCCGAAGAGAAAAGGGAACAAUGUCAGUCCCGAGAGAGAGGAAUAGGAGACGUGGUUCACGGCCGUGGAACUGACCCAAGUGGGGAAAUCCAUCAUGACCGAGCUUCACCUAACAAGGAAUCAUCGAGUCUCAUCCAAGGGGCAGAGCAGCAGAAUAUGGUAACACCUAUCCACACCACGGCUGAAGUUGGAAACAGGACUGUGGCUCCAGUGACCUCAACAACAAAGGCAGACACAGAUCUAACGUCUACAUUCUCUGAGCUCCUGACACAGUGGAGCGAGUACCAAUUGUUCCAGCUGACAAAAUUCUAUCGGGAGAGACUGAAACAGGCGAUUGAAGAAAGGGUUGAGAGUCUCGGCUUCAUGAUGAGAUGGCACGGAUAUUUCAGUGAACAAGAA
Molecule: long non-coding RNA, 404 nt
Organism: Amblyraja radiata (thorny skate)
Lineage: Eukaryota; Metazoa; Chordata; Chondrichthyes; Rajiformes; Rajidae
Exons: 3
Source: RefSeq, a predicted model, not a curated record